RNA transcript from Daucus carota subsp. sativus, 1421 nucleotides. RefSeq lists it as uncharacterized. The record is from RefSeq and is a predicted model, not a curated record. Lineage: Eukaryota; Viridiplantae; Streptophyta; Magnoliopsida; Apiales; Apiaceae. The transcript is spliced from 8 exons.
UCGACUGCCCCUCUCGGGCCUCUUAUUUACGGGCACUGCCAUUGAUCAUUAUUGUCUGACACUGCUUUUUGAAUUUUGAAUUAUGGCUAUCAAAUCUGUGUAAUUAUUUGACUUUUCCUCUCUAUUUUCAAAUGUCACUGCUCUGCUUUUGUUCUGUUUUCCCUCCACAAGCUUUCUUUGCUCUAGCCUCAAGCUCUCUCCGCCAUUAUUCUCAAGAUAAUAACGAAUGGAUUUUUCAGCGGGUCAGCACAACGAUACGUCUGGUUCUGAUUCUGAUGGGUUGGAUCAAACAUGGAGGUCUGCCCAGUUUAGUUUUGAUUUCCACUCCCCCCCAAAACUGCUCCUCCUCUCUCCGGUGAAGCCGUCUUCGUCUCUCAUUCUCUUCGUAGUAAACGAAUACCGUUUCUAAUGGUUUGGGGAAGAGAAACUCAUGCUGCUGAUGGGUUAUUGGGUUGUACCAUGAUUGGAAGACUGAUAAAAACGCUUUGGUUUCGUCGGUUCUGUCCGGUAAUCCUGUUCCAGCAGUUAACUUGAUCGGACCGGUCUCGCAGCCGGUUGCGGUCACUGUUCAUGCAGUACGCAGCGAAGUAGCCAGAAAUCAACGGCACACCCUCCCUGAUACAUAUGCUUGGUCUUUUGUCCGAUGAAAAUUUCCGGUUGUUAUGUCCUCCAAAUUUGACCCGGAACCUAUCGUGCAAUCUCAGAGACGUUGUCUCCCCCUAUUUCGAGUACCAAUCAAUGUGAAUCUCCUCACGCUGAAUGUUUUCCUCUUGAUCAGUUAAAGUCAAAUAUAAUUUCAAGUAUAAAAGGUAUUCGUGGGAAGAGUAAAUUGAACAGGAAAGAGACUUUUGUUGUUGAUGAAGUUAAUAAGAAACUAGCUUUUGGCCAUCAAAUGUCGGAUAGGAUCGUGGAGUAUGUAGUGGGCUAUGAGGACGUUGGUGAGAGAUUAAUUUAGAUGUUAUUAGUUCACUUUUAAUUUAUUACAACAUACCACCCACAUAACCAUCGCAGAGAAGUCCAGAAUUGUUGGUCUUGAUUACGUUAAUGCAUUCUGUUUCGUGAUGAUGAUACUAAUGAUGAUGAAUAUCGGCAGCAUUGUGAGAAUCUUAAUGCGCGGUAUGAUAAGAAUUUUGUCAAAGGUGUGUGCGCUAUUGAAAAGAUGCCCGGUAUAUCAGUGUUCACGCAUGGCCAACUUUAUGUUGCUGUAAAUCGGUUUACCAGUCGACGCGGUCUUAAAAUUUUCGUUGAUGAUAGCAGUGGACACAAUACAAAUAUAACUGAUAAUGUUGUGUUUAAGGAAGUGUUCUACCAUAUACGUGUAACAUAGUAUAUAAAUGUCCGAUAGAUUGUCGGUAGUUUUUAAGCAUAUUUUGUUAGGCAGAAUCCGGUCAACUAUUUUAUACAAGGACCACUUUUCUAUA